CCCCUGUGGACAGCUGUGCUAUUUGCCUGCUUUGUUUUUUUCUCUCUCUUACCUCUUAUUUCCCUGUUCUCUCCACCAAUGCAUUCAGAUCCCCGGGAUGGAGUGCGCUGAUACUGCUGCGUUCUUCCUGCACCAACUGUCCGGGCGGCUCAGCAUGUUCUACAGAACAGCAUGCCUUUGGGAAUGCUUGGAGUAUGUAGCCUGACAGCAAGAGAACACUGCGCUCUUCUGGCUAUUUCUCAACAUGUCAGAGGGACAGGAGUGUGCUCAGCCUUGUGUGGUUGCACGUAUGCAAAAAUCCCUAUCGCAGCUGUAAACAUCUUUGUUGUUCUGCUUUACAGCAGUAGUGUGUGACGAGAAGCCUACCACUAUCAAUUUAGAGGAGUGCACGGAAGCUUUUGGGCAUGAUUUAUCCUCACUAUACCUCACACUGGGUGGGAAAAGUUGGCACUGGAUCUCACAUAGCAGCUUGUAACAAAGCUCUUGCGCAAUAAAGAAGCAUUUCAACCGCUGCUUCUUGCAGCAGUACAGUGUUUCCAAAGAGAGAAAAACACCACUACUGGCAUAAACUGGAUUUCUGCUGUUGGUUGAGCAUGUGCAGUGGAAUUGCCAGGUCACAGCCUGAGCCAGUACGUGAGCACAUGAGUGCCUGGAGCUGGGGGAGCCUAGAUCCACCCUUCCUCUUUCUCCGUCCCCGCAGUGCUUCUGGGAGCGCAGUCAGUCCGCAGGGGUCUCCUCAGCCCCCUCCCCGCGCCCCCCCAGGCCCGUCCCCCCCUUCUUCCAGCGAUCCAGAUUUCAAAGCGGAGAAGGCUGUGUUCCUCAGCUCACCCCUUUCUUCCAAACUCUCGCUCGGAGGGGUGAGUUGAUUGCUCUUUCUUUGAUAGCUUGUCCUAUAGUGCCUAGAUCUCAGAGAAAGGCUCUGUCAUUGCCCUUGUUUGCUUUACAGCAUGUCAGAGGUCGGUCAUUGCUAGGAAAGCUUGUGCUUUAAAGCACCAGGUUGUAUAGAGAAGGUAAUUCUAAAAGCGAGCUUGCCAGUUCUUUUUUACCUAAGUGGUUUUUGAGCAAGGAAAGAUUGGAGAUGCUGUUUGCUCAUGGAAGAUGGAGAGGAGGAAAAGCAAGUAAGACGCAUGCUGUGCAUAGCCACUGCAUGCACCAUUUCCCCCCUGAACAAAGGAGGAGCAGCUCAGCAAGCUUGGCAUCUCAGCAAGCUUGGUAACCCCCUUGGGGGGAGGGGCUCCCCUAACUGUUUCUCUUCAGCUGUCAUGGCAGGUAAGGCAGCAGGCUUCCCGUGCUCCGAUGCCACAGAGUUGCAUGGGGGAGCAGCACCAGGACAGGGAAAGGAACCCUUGCGGCCCCAGCCACACUGUCCUGCACACUCCUGUGCAAGGGUUGGGUUAUGGGGAUAUGGAUACAGUAAGACUGUGGGAUGGGUUUGGGAUGGGAUAUGGAUAUUGGAUGGAAAUGGGGAUAUGGAGAUAUGGAAUUGGUUUGGAAUGAUAAUGGGAUUGAAUAAGUGUAGGGAGUGGAUACGGGGUGGGACAUGAAUAUUGGCAUGGAUGUGGGCUGUGGGAUGGGCCAUGGAUUUGAGGUGGGUCAAGGACUCGGGCACCCCACCACUACAGCGCUGCUUCCAGCAUCCAGGCUGUACCCUCCCAGCCCCUCCAGCGCUACUCCCCGUCCCCUCCCAGACCCAUCAUGACCCGCAGACCCCUUUGCUACUGGGGGCUCUGGGGAAGAUACAGGGGGAAUAUGAGGUUAUAGGGCACUGAGGGGGCUUUGGGGAGGGAUAUGAUUAUUUACGGGGCUGGGGGGGAGCUAUAGGAGUGGAUAUAUGGGGUUAUCGGGCUAGAGGGGGCUGGGAUGUGUCUAUAGGAAGGAUAA
Molecule: long non-coding RNA, 1881 nt
Organism: Gallus gallus (chicken)
Lineage: Eukaryota; Metazoa; Chordata; Aves; Galliformes; Phasianidae
Exons: 4
Source: RefSeq, a predicted model, not a curated record